AGGGGUGUAGCUCAGUUGGUAGAGCAGCGGUCUCCAAAACCGCGUGUCGUGAGUUCAAGUCUUGCCACCCCUGCCA
RNAcentral lists this transfer RNA (76 nucleotides) under Candidatus Saccharimonadota bacterium. RNAcentral's name for it is "tRNA-Trp". It matches the Rfam family "tRNA". From Rfam's summary of the family: Transfer RNA (tRNA) molecules are approximately 80 nucleotides in length. Their secondary structure includes four short double-helical elements and three loops (D, anti-codon, and T loops). Lineage: Bacteria; Candidatus Saccharimonadota. RNAcentral also lists the same sequence under 2 other names. The record is from RNAcentral.